GGAGCGGUGGCCGAGUGGUCGAAGGCGCUCGCCUGGAAAGUGAGUAGGGGGUGCAAGCCUCCUCCAGGGUUCGAAUCCCUGCCGCUCCGCCA
Molecule: transfer RNA, 92 nt
Filed under: Sphingomonas sp. SUN039
Lineage: Bacteria; Pseudomonadati; Pseudomonadota; Alphaproteobacteria; Sphingomonadales; Sphingomonadaceae
Description: tRNA-Ser
Rfam family: tRNA
About the family: Transfer RNA (tRNA) molecules are approximately 80 nucleotides in length. Their secondary structure includes four short double-helical elements and three loops (D, anti-codon, and T loops).
Source: RNAcentral